AUACGGAGGAUCCGAGCGUUAUCCGGAUUUAUUGGGUUUAAAGGGUGCGCAGGCGGCCAUUUAAGUCAGCGGUUAAAUCGUGGGGCUCAACCCCAUUCUGCCGUUGAUACUGGGUGGCUUGAUUGCGGUCGAGGUUGGCGGAAUUCGUUGUGUAGGGGGGAAAUGCAUAGAUAUGACGAAGAACACCGAUUGCGUAGGCAGCUGACCAGACCGCAAAUGACGCUCAUGCACGAAAGUGCGGGGAUCGAACAGGAUUAGAUACCCUGGUAGUCCGCACAGUAAACGAUGAAUACUUGUUUUCGGCGAUAUAAUGUCGGAGGCAAAGCGAAAGCGAUAAGUAUUCCACCUGGGGAGUACGCCGGCAACGGUGAAACUCAAAUGAAUUGACGGGG
RNAcentral lists this ribosomal RNA (392 nucleotides) under uncultured bacterium. RNAcentral's name for it is "partial 16S ribosomal RNA". It matches the Rfam family "Bacterial small subunit ribosomal RNA", at positions 523 to 918 of the family's 1533-position model. The record is from RNAcentral.